This 77-nucleotide transfer RNA is filed under the name Rhodospirillaceae bacterium. RNAcentral describes it as "tRNA-Arg". It matches the Rfam family "tRNA". Rfam says of the family: Transfer RNA (tRNA) molecules are approximately 80 nucleotides in length. Their secondary structure includes four short double-helical elements and three loops (D, anti-codon, and T loops). Further hydrogen bonds mediate the characteristic L-shaped molecular structure. tRNAs have two regions of fundamental functional importance: the anti-codon, which is responsible for specific mRNA codon recognition, and the 3' end, to which the tRNAs corresponding amino acid is attached (by aminoacyl-tRNA synthetases). tRNAs cope with the degeneracy of the genetic code in two manners: having more than one tRNA (with a specific anti-codon) for a particular amino acid; and 'wobble' base-pairing, i.e. permitting non-standard base-pairing at the 3rd anti-codon position. Lineage: Bacteria; Pseudomonadati; Pseudomonadota; Alphaproteobacteria; Rhodospirillales; Rhodospirillaceae. The record is from RNAcentral.
GCGCCCGUAGCUCAAUUGGAUAGAGCGUCUGACUACGGAUCAGGAGGUUAGGGGUUCGACUCCUCUCGGGCGCGCCA